AUUGAUUCUUCGGUCGAUUUCAAUUGCUUUAUUUAAAGAAAAUAUGACCAACUAACAUAUUAAAAAUUCGAAAAAGCGACUAUGACAUUACUAUGUAAUAAAAAUCAACCGAGAAACGUGGGAAAUAGAGCCCAAACAACAUUUCGAAGUCAGAUGGCAGUAAAAGGUUCCAAAACCUGUCACGAAUCCUAUAAUACUUUUAUUAGGAUUUGUAACGAUCAUCAAAACCUUCUCAAAUCCAACCGACUUGGAACUAUUGCUUGGGAAUAGACUCUACUGAGCCCCGGCGGUUCCUCCUGUUUAUCGAGCAUGUCUGAUGCAUAUGAUCAGCCAUACUCCAUCUGCAGCAGCCGGUUCGUGAUGAGCCGUUGGAGGCGCAUUAAAGUGUUAAAAAGGUGAUAUGUUUCACUAAAGAACACUACAUUACAAUAAUCAAAAUGAAACUCCUUCACUUUAAUACCGUCAACCCCUGCGAACUUGGCCAGGGAAUCUCUAGUAGAAUUCAUGAAGGAAUAUAUGGAGCAAUCCCUGAAGAAAUCUCGGAAGGAACACUUGCAAACAUAAAUGAAAGAAUUUCUGUUGACAUUCCUUUGAGAAUCCCUGGAGGAAUCAUCGGAAAAAGCACUGGAACAACAACUGGAGGAACCUCUAUGGAUAUGCCAGGAGAAAUACCCGGAGGAAUGUCUGGUGAAACCCAUAAAGGGAUUCUUGAAACAUUCUGUGGAGCAAUCCAUGAUGGAUUCACUAAAGGAAGCUUUGGAAUAAUUCCAGGAGGAAUUCGUCGAUGCAUCCUUGCAGAAGUAUCUGUCAAAAUUUCUGAAGGAAUCAUGGGAGGAAUUCUUGAAGCAUUUCUUGGAACAAAGCCCGAAACAUUCACUAUCGGAACCUUGCAUACCUCGCAUAAUCAAUCACGAGACCUGAAUGGCAUCGUUGAUUUGAUGAAGUUGUAAAAAUAUCACGCAUUCCGGUAUAGUAUUCAAAGGGUUGAUUUGUUAGUUUACCCAAAAAAAAAUCUGCCACUACCAAGUUUUCAGAACGCUACCCAUACACUUUUCUUAAUCGAAGGGCAGGAAAAUCUGAAUUUGAGUUAGGGCUUUUAGGACUCAAAUUAGAACACCACGGACAGCAAUAACAGCUUCCAAUAUGACAGUUCGGAUCAUAACACUACAGAACCAUCUUUUCUGUUUUGUAACCCCUAGAGGAUCUCAUACGGGAGAUCCCAUCAAGUUUAAUUUCCGCAAUUACACAGAAGUAAAAAUUUUGCAGUAAAUUUAAAACACUAAACAAACAAUAAAGUCAAUUUUUCCCGAUGAUGUUUUUGACGGAACAGAUUUUCCUUGCACUAAUUCAUUAGUUCUCACUAGCGUAAUGGGUAAUGUUUGUGUGUUUGUAAAUCAAUGUGAUUUCCUUGGUGAUUUAGGUCCUUACAAUUAGUACUUUUCGCAUUUUUACGUAGGUAUUAUUCCUACACAUUCGUGCCAAAUUGAUGGUGGUGCUCAACACACGCACAGUGUUCCAUUGCUAUCACUCGGCUUUUAGUAGGA
Molecule: long non-coding RNA, 1544 nt
Organism: Aedes albopictus (Asian tiger mosquito)
Lineage: Eukaryota; Metazoa; Arthropoda; Insecta; Diptera; Culicidae
Exons: 2
Source: RefSeq, a predicted model, not a curated record